Molecule: ribosomal RNA, 497 nt
Filed under: uncultured bacterium
Lineage: Bacteria
Description: partial 16S ribosomal RNA
Rfam family: Bacterial small subunit ribosomal RNA
Source: RNAcentral
GAUGAACGCUGGCGGCGUGCCUAAUACAUGCAAGUCGAGCGAACGGACGAGAAGCUUGCUUCUCUGAUGUUAGCGGCGGACGGGUGAGUAACACGUGGAUAACCUACCUAUAAGACUGGGAUAACUUCGGGAAACCGGAGCUAAUACCGGAUAAUAUUUUGAACCGCAUGGUUCAAAAGUGAAAGACGGUCUUGCUGUCACUUAUAGAUGGAUCCGCGCUGCAUUAGCUAGUUGGUAAGGUAACGGCUUACCAAGGCAACGAUGCAUAGCCGACCUGAGAGGGUGAUCGGCCACACUGGAACUGAGACACGGUCCAGACUCCUACGGGAGGCAGCAGUAGGGAAUCUUCCGCAAUGGGCGAAAGCCUGACGGAGCAACGCCGCGUGAGUGAUGAAGGUCUUCGGAUCGUAAAACUCUGUUAUUAGGGAAGAACAUAUGUGUAAGUAACUGUGCACAUCUCGACGGUACCUAAUCAGAAAGCCACGGCUAACUACGUG